AGCCUUUAGCCAAACUAGUAUUAAAGGUCCCGCCUGCCCAGUGAUACAUUUUAACGGCCGCGGUAUCCUAACCGUGCAAAGGUAGCGUAAUCACUUGUCUCCUAAAUAGAGACCAGUAUGAACGGCUAAAUGAGGACAGGCCUGUCUCCUGUGGCCAAUCAGUGAAACUGAUCCUCCAGUACAAAAGCUGGGAUAUAAACAUAAGACGAGAAGACCCUGUGGAGCUUCAAACACCCACUAACAAGCAUUCCCUGCCCCUAGUGUAGAGUUUUAAGUUGGGGCGACUUCGGAGCAAAAUGAAACCUCCGAGAACAGAGCCACACACUCUUACCGAGGCCUACAAGCCAAAGUUAAAACAACAGACCCAGUAAUACUGAUCAACGAACCAAGUUACCCCAGGGAUAACAGCGCUAUCUUCUUCAAGAGUCCAUAUCGACAAGAAGGUUUACGACCUCGAUGUUGGAUCAGGACACCCAAAUGGUGCAGCCGCUAUUAAUGGUUCGUUUGUUCAACGAUUAACAGUCCUACGUGAUCUAGU
RNAcentral lists this ribosomal RNA (538 nucleotides) under Eumeces schneideri pavimentatus. Its description in RNAcentral is "partial 16S ribosomal RNA". It matches the Rfam family "Bacterial large subunit ribosomal RNA", at positions 1817 to 2610 of the family's 2925-position model. The record is from RNAcentral. Lineage: Eukaryota; Metazoa; Chordata; Lepidosauria; Squamata; Scincidae.